GACGAACGCUGGCGGCGUGCUUAACACAUGCAAGUCGAACGGAAAGGCCCUGCUUUUGUGGGGUGAUCGAGUGGCGAACGGGUGAGUAACACGUGAGUAACCUGCCCUUGACUUUGGGAUAACUUCAGGAAACUGGGGCUAAUACCGGAUAGGAGCUCCUGCUGCAUGGUGGGGGUUGGAACGUUUCGGCGGUUGGGGAUGGACUCGCGGCUUAUCAGCUUGUUGGUGGGGUAGUGGCUUACCAAGGCUUUGACGGGUAGCCGGCCUGAGAGGGUGACCGGCCACAUUGGGACUGAGAUACGGCCCAGACUCCUACGGGAGGCAGCAGUGGGGAAUAUUGCACAAUGGGCGGAAGCCUGAUGCAGCAACGCCGCGUGCGGGAUGACGGCCUUCGGGUUGUAAACCGCUUUCGCCUGUGACGAAGCGUGAGUGACGGUAAUGGGUAAAGAAGCACCGGCUAACUACGUG
This 468-nucleotide ribosomal RNA is filed under the name uncultured bacterium. RNAcentral's name for it is "partial 16S ribosomal RNA". It matches the Rfam family "Bacterial small subunit ribosomal RNA", at positions 28 to 507 of the family's 1533-position model. The record is from RNAcentral.